AGAGUUUGAUCAUGGCUCAGAACAAACGCUGGCGGCGUGCCUAACACAUGCAAGUCGUACGAGAAAGGGCCUUCGGGCCUGAGUAAAGUGGCGCACGGGUGAGUAACGCGUGGAUAAUCUGCCCCUCAGUUAGGAAUAACCCAUCGAAAGGUGGGCUAAUACCAAAUAAUGCUGCAAAACCCCGGUUUUGUAGCCAAAGAUGGCCUCUGCUUGCAAGCUGUCGCUGAAGGAUGAGUCCGCGUACCAUUAGCUAGUUGGUAGGGUAAUGGCCUACCAAGGCGACGAUGGUUAGCUGGUCUGAGAGGAUGAUCAGCCACACUGGAACUGAGAUACGGUCCAGACUCCUACGGGAGGCAGCAGUGAGGAAUCUUGCGCAAUGGGGGAAACCCUGACGCAGCAACGCCGCGUGAGUGAAGAAGGCCUUCGGGUCGUAAAGCUCUGUCGGGUGGGAAGAAACGUGUGGAGGUGAAUAGCCCCCAUACUUGACGGUACCGCCAAAGGAAGCACCGGCUAACUCCGUGCCAGCAGCCGCGGUAAUACGGGGGGUGCAAGCGUUGUUCGGAAUUAUUGGGCGUAAAGAGCGUGUAGGCGGCGUGAUAAGUCAGAUGUGAAAUCCCUGGGCUCAACCCAGGAAGUGCAUUUGAAACUGUCUUGCUUGAGUACGGGAGAGGGAAGAGGAAUUCCUGGUGUAGAGGUGAAAUUCGUAGAUAUCAGGAGGAACACCGGUGGCGAAGGCGACUUCCUGGCCCGAUACUGACGCUGAGACGCGAGAGCGUGGGGAGCAAACAGGAUUAGAUACCCUGGUAGUCCACGCCGUAAACGAUGUUCACUAGGUGUUGGGGGUAUUGA
RNAcentral lists this ribosomal RNA (849 nucleotides) under uncultured bacterium. RNAcentral describes it as "bacterial SSU rRNA". It matches the Rfam family "Bacterial small subunit ribosomal RNA", at positions 8 to 835 of the family's 1533-position model. The record is from RNAcentral.